CCUACGGGGGGCAGCAGUAAGGAAUAUUGGGCAAUGGACGCAAGUCUGACCCAGCCAUGCCGCGUGAAGGAUGAAUGUCCUAUGGAUUGUAAACUUCUUUUAUGCAGGAAAAAUAUCCCGGUCGUGAACCGGGACUGAUGGUACUGUAUGAAUAAGCAUCGGCUAACUCCGUGCCAGCAGCCGCGGUAAUACGGAGGAUGCAAGCGUUAUCCGGAUUCAUUGGGUUUAAAGGGUGCGCAGGCGGAAUGAUAAGUCAGUGGUGAAAUCUCCCGGCUCAACCGGGAAACUGCCAUUGAUACUGUCGUUCUUGAGUACAGUUGAAGUGGGCGGAAUGUGUCAUGUAGCGGUGAAAUGCUUAGAUAUGACACAGAACACCGAUAGUGAAGACAGCUCACUAAGCUGUAACUGACGCUCAUGCACGAAAGCGUGGGGAUCAAACAGGAUUAGAUACCCUAGUAGUCC
Molecule: ribosomal RNA, 462 nt
Filed under: uncultured Bacteroidales bacterium
Lineage: Bacteria; Pseudomonadati; Bacteroidota; Bacteroidia; Bacteroidales
Description: bacterial SSU rRNA
Rfam family: Bacterial small subunit ribosomal RNA
Source: RNAcentral